This is a non-coding RNA of Agelaius phoeniceus (red-winged blackbird), 876 nucleotides long. Lineage: Eukaryota; Metazoa; Chordata; Aves; Passeriformes; Icteridae. The record is from RefSeq and is a predicted model, not a curated record.
AGAAGGGAGAGCAGCGGGUUGGGAGUUCCUGGGACAGAUUGAAAAAUUAGCAGAGGGAAAAGCAAUCUUCUCCAAGGGGCCUCUUAGGACAGCUAAAGGGAGAGACUCCACAUUUGAUGGCAGCGUGCAGGCGGGCAGGGCAGAGCAGUUCCGGUCCACGUCGUGUUGUCGGGUGUACCGUGUUACCUACUGUGUCUUUGGGGUCCCUUUUGCCUUUUCCCCUCGAGGCCCUCACCACAAGCAUAAUGUGUCGUGUUUAACGUCCCCCCGUUGGUCACGUUCUGUGUCACGGGUGUCUGCACAUGUUUGUGCCGGAGCUGCUCUGCCCUGCCGCAGAGGCUGCUGCAACAGGACAAGGCUCAGGGACACGCAGUUUGUGGGGUGUGGCCGGACUCUAGAUGAUAUUCCUAGAUAGACAGAAGAUGUUUGGAGCUGUGAAGAUAUCCUGCAGCCCUUUGACGUUUGUCCUCGCUUUCUUUCAGAUGCAGAAGGAUAAAAUCCAGGGCAAAAUCCAUCCACCCAUCCCGAGUGAGGAGGUUCCCCCGAGCAGGAAGUAAAGCUGGACAUCAGCAGUCAAGGUGUCACCAGGGCAGCCUUCAGCAAUGGCCGAGGAGUUGCGCCCAGGCGUGCCCCACGACGAUGGCGUCAGCCUCCGAGUGCGGCUGAAGCGUGCGGCCCCAGGAGCCGGGCAUUCUUGGGAAGAGAACGAAGAAACAACAGGAAGUUGUUGAACAACAGUGCCAGCAGGACCUUCCCAGCUGUCGAGGCAGCCUUCCCUUGCACCUGACACAGACCGGCAUCCCCAGAUGUCUGAGAGAUAAGUAGAGGGCCACGACCCACAGAGGGGAUGAAACCAGGGCGCAGGGCAGGGACCCA